AUUGGUGUUUUGAGAAAAAGCAGGGCUUAGCUCUUAAUCUGUAAGACUUGAAAAUUCUUGUACUUCAUAAAACCAGCUUUCACUUCUAAGAAAAUUUUAUAAAUGUAAUAGGAUGCCAUUAACUUUUCAGUUAAGCAGUAAGUGUAAUCAGGCGAAGCGUAGCAGAUGAUAAUAUUUGAUUGCAUGUAACCGUACUAAGUGGUUUUGGUCUGCGCUGAUGUCCCUCUACAGCUUCAUCGCUGAAACACUGUGAGCUUUUGUGCAGCUUCUGCAAUCUAUUCAGUAUAGACCUAGCCUAUAAAUAGCUGCAUUAUUGAGAGACCGUGAGAGGUUCAUUAGAGAAGCUGUGACAGCCUCCUUUGAGCCAGGGCUGAUAUAGUACCACUCCAAGUUACCAAAGAGCUUCGCCGUGUGGGUAACACUAAGCACGAAGCUGGGCUUUUGGCCACGCAGCAGCGUAGCUGCCCCACCGGUCGUCCCCCCCCAUCACCCCGCCUGCGGGUUCUCACAAAGUACACUGCGCUUCUUGCCAGCUCCGGCCGCGGGGAUUUCUUUCCAAACGAAAGCACGGCAGCACGCGGGACCUCGUGGUCACGCCAACCUUGUCCCAGCCCGGAGCUGGGAUCCAGCCAAGGGCGUCUGCUGGGGACCGGGGCGCAGGACACCCUGCCCACCGUACCUACCUGCCGGCGCGGAGGCAGCCAGGGAGAUUAGUCAUCUUAAAAUCACGGGCAGGCAGAAGUACUCUGCUGACUCAAUAGGAAGUCGCUGGCCGAAAUCAGCGGGAUUUCUCACGUGAUUGAAGUUACAUGUCUUAAUCCUGUGCACUGUAUUCACGUCGCUGGGGAGCGAGGAAAGAAAAUUUGAAUGGCAGCUGAUGGCUGUUUUCUUUCAAAGCCUAUGAGUUCCAUCAGUAUGUUAAUUGUCUCUGUGUACUUGGGUUCACUUGGCUUUGAAAAGCAUCCGACGGAGAAGAAGCAUUUGGUCAACAUCGAGAAGAUCUGGUGAUUUAAACUCUGGAGCUGAUUUGGUCUUGGUGAUACCAAACAACAAACCCCAGCUCCCCCAUUCUGCUGUCCUUCACGUCACCCUCGAGCUGAGGCAGCGCUCCACCGACUGCCUGGUCUUUAUCACCAGAUUUUCUGAACAUUCAGCACCCGUAUCAUUGCAGCAGAUUUUCAGAAGCGGGCAGCCAUCAGCUAUGGUAAUUACAGUUAGGGCCAAAUUCUCAAAAGAACUUGGCAUACUGCCCCAAAUCUGGUCCCAGGCAUGGAUACAUAGUGCUUUCCUGCAGGAAUCACAGCUCCGAUUUUGGGAGUCACCUAAUUCUGUGCCCCACAGAGGAGUCCCAGCUGGGAGGUGUGUGGUCAGGAUGAAGGUGG
Long non-coding RNA from Aquila chrysaetos chrysaetos, 1382 nucleotides. RefSeq lists it as uncharacterized. The record is from RefSeq and is a predicted model, not a curated record. Lineage: Eukaryota; Metazoa; Chordata; Aves; Accipitriformes; Accipitridae. The transcript is spliced from 3 exons.